RNAcentral lists this ribosomal RNA (482 nucleotides) under uncultured bacterium. RNAcentral's name for it is "partial 16S ribosomal RNA". It matches the Rfam family "Bacterial small subunit ribosomal RNA", at positions 28 to 523 of the family's 1533-position model. The record is from RNAcentral.
GACGAACGCUGGCGGCGUGCUUAACACAUGCAAGUCGAACGAUGAACCAGGGCUUGCCCUGGGGAUUAGUGGCGAACGGGUGAGUAACACGUGGGCAGCCUGCCCCAGACACCGGGAUAACCUCUCGAAAGAGUGGCUAAUACCGGAUACGACCACUUUGGGCAUCCAACGGUGGUGGAAAGUAUUCUGGUCUGGGAUGGGCCCGCGGCCUAUCAGCUUGUUGGUGGGGUAAUGGCCUACCAAGGCGACGACGGGUAGCCGGCCUGAGAGGGCGACCGGCCACACUGGGACUGAGACACGGCCCAGACUCCUACGGGAGGCAGCAGUGGGGAAUAUUGCGCAAUGGGCGAAAGCCUGACGCAGCGACGCCGCGUGAGGGACGAAGGUCUUCGGAUUGUAAACCUCUUUCAGCAGGGACGAAGCGAAAGUGACUGUACCUGCAGAAGAAGCACCGGCUAACUACGUGCCAGCAGCCGCGGUAA